UGAGGGGUCCGUAGGCGGCCUGUUGCAAGGCAAAAUCUCUGUCCCUAUCCAAUAUACCCUCAUUUUCCAGUGGCAGUCCAAAUUUCCCCGACCAUCAUCCCAGAUGGCCUCUAUUUUAUCAACCUACCUAUUGUAUUCAUUGUGAACUUGUUCUCGUCCUGAAUAUGCAUGAAAUAUUUGCCACUGGACGUUGAGCAACCAACAAUCAAUCAAUCUUUCUGCCUUUAUAAGAUUUGCUGUCAAUAAUUUUGCCC
RNAcentral lists this long non-coding RNA (254 nucleotides) under Mytilus galloprovincialis (Mediterranean mussel). Lineage: Eukaryota; Metazoa; Mollusca; Bivalvia; Mytilida; Mytilidae. The record is from RNAcentral.